UACGUAGGGUGCGAGCGUUGUCCGGAAUGAUUGGGCGUAAAGGGCGCGUAGGCGGCGCGGUAAGUCUGGAGUGAAAGUCCUGCUUUCAAGGUGGGAAUUGCUUUGGAUACUGCCGCGCUUGAGUGCAGGAGAGGUUAUCGGAAUUCCCGGUGUAGCGGUGAAAUGCGUAGAGAUCGGGAGGAACACCAGUGGCGAAGGCGGGUAACUGGACUGCAACUGACGCUGAGGCGCGAAAGUGUGGGGAGCAAACAGGAUUAGAUACCCUGGUAGUCCACGCCGUAAACGAUGAAUGCUAGGUGUAAGAGGUAUCGACCCCUUUUGUGCCGGAGUCGACACAAUAAGCAUUCCGCCUGGGGAGUACGGCCGCAAGGUUGAAACUCAAAUGAAUUGGCGGGG
This 396-nucleotide ribosomal RNA is filed under the name uncultured bacterium. RNAcentral describes it as "partial 16S ribosomal RNA". It matches the Rfam family "Bacterial small subunit ribosomal RNA", at positions 524 to 918 of the family's 1533-position model. The record is from RNAcentral.